Molecule: non-coding RNA, 2553 nt
Organism: Podarcis muralis (Common wall lizard)
Lineage: Eukaryota; Metazoa; Chordata; Lepidosauria; Squamata; Lacertidae
Source: RefSeq, a predicted model, not a curated record
GAAUAGGGCCUGCCUCGAACAUCACAAAGAGAGUGGAUGUGCCACGUAAAAGCUGGCAGUGGAAAAUUUCAGAACCUGAAAUAGUUGUGUAACAGGCACAUGUUCCUCCGGUAAAAAGAGGAAGGAAACAAGCUUAAGACCUUGCGAUUCCUAAAAAGGCAAUGAGUUAAAAUGGACAGUACAUUGUAUUAGAAAUAUGUUAUUUUGUAACAGGAAGAUUGUAAGCCAAGCCUCCGAAGGAGGGGCGGCAGUUAGGGCUUAAAACCUUCAUGCAUUGCUUGAACGGGGCUCUUCGGUCACACGGGGAUGUGAUGGGAGCCCGCCUUUGCAAACGCGACCCAAUAAAUAUAUUUGGUUAACCAAGCUAAAGGUCUCAGUCCGUUUAUCCACGUUUAGGAUUUUCUCACAAAUUUGGCGCCCAACGUGGGGCUCCUUACCGUCCAACGGGGGAAUCGGUGGAGACGAGGGGCUUGAGGCGCCUCUCCUUGAUUUCAGGGAGGUCCGUCCUCUCCACCCGACCCGCCGUGGGCGAAAGGGGCUAGACGAGACCCACAGGAAAGUAAUGAUCGGUAGGAUCUCCGCCGUUUGAAAUACGGGCAGGAGAACUUGCAGGGACGCCUGCCUGUCCACUACCUGACGAAGGACUGGACUGACCGACAGACGAGGUCUUCUGGCGCAGAGACCACCUCUCCUUGGAAGCCAACAUCCCCACCAGCCUGGAGACUGGGUGCUCAUAAAAACCUGGCGGACUGAAAAAUUAACCCUGGCUUGGGAGGGACCGUACCAAGUUCUGCUGACAACUGAAUCGGCAGUGCGGACCCAAGAGCACGGGUGGACACACUAUCACCGGGUUAAGAAGGCACCACAGGACUGGACCGUUCGGGUCGACCCUAGCAACCCGCUAAAAAUCACGAUCCGACGAACCUAGGUCCAAAGGGGGAUGAGCUCGAGGAGGAGAGGGAUGGACUGGCCAAAGAUGACCUGGACACUUUUGCUGUGGGCUACGGCCGCAAUCGCGGGCGAACAUGCCUGCACGGACUGCAUCCAAAUUACUAAAACUGGGACUGUUGUCACACGGACAUUGAUGUAUUAUAAUGUUGCUCCGGAAUGUGAAAAGGAACUAGAACCCUGUGUCCAUAACCAAACCCAAUAUUUUAGGUGCAGAACUAAGGAAAACAAGACCGAGUGUUAUGAGCCCUUAGCAGUAGGGCCCAUUACAUCCAGUAUAUAUGUGUAUGGAUAUAAGGGAGGAACGGCAAACAAGGCUGGAGAAAGAGCACAUACAAAGGCAAGGGUAUAUAGCCCACAACAUUACGAGAGGUGCAGAUAAGGUACAUGUUUGUUUUGAUGCAUGCACCGCUAUCACAAAGGGGCAGGGGCCUAACGAUCAAGCUGGAGUUACUUGCGGGUCACUGAGCUGGGAAAGGUCUUACCUCCAGGAAAAUAAUUAUUUAUUCCAGCAGAUUGCCGGUUCUAACGUAGGGACCACCCGGACGAUCAAUUAUUGGUAUACUAAGGGGGUUGAUGAAUCACCCCCGUAUUGGGGUCCGGAAGGUGUCAAUAUUACCCGAGCAGGAAUUUCCAUGGCCUGUAGCUCGGGAAAAUGCAACCCUGUGUGCCUAUGGACUAGGGAACUGCCCUCCACUAGCCCCAAAUGGGUUGGGGAUAGAUGGAACUGGAAAGGAUCCCUAUGGGUAUUUGAUUAUAAUGAUUCACACUACCAAGGUAAGCAAAAAGCUUAUAUCAGUAUAUGAAAGUUUUGAAGAAGAAAUGCAACAACUAAACAAUUUACCUUUACCCCCAAAAGCAUAUAAUAUGUUUCUAAGCCUGGCCGAAACUAUAGCAAAAGAACUAACAGUAAGGAAUUGUUUUGUGUGGGGGGGGGGACAAACAUGGGAAGGGCUGAAUUUUAAGGAAUUAUUCGGCUCAUGGUUCCCAAAGUUGCCAGGGUUGCAAGCCAUCGUAGCCCUAAUUGGAUUAAUAGCCGCAGGAUGUGUAUUGAUCCCUUGUGUGUUACCUAUCUUUGUCAGGGCAAUCAACAACUCCCUCUCCCUGUUAGCACAGCGACACGCUGCCACCCAAAUGAUGGUAAUGAGGUAUGAACCUGUGCCUACAGAAGAGGAGGAAGGGAACCAUUUGGAUUUAUUGUGUGAGUUCGAGGCAAGCAUGAAAAAGAGGGGGGAUUUGUGAGAAUAGGGCCUGCCUCGAACAUCACAAAGAGAGUGGAUGUGCCACGUAAAAGCUGGCAGUGGAAAAUUUCAGAACCUGAAAUAGUUGUGUAACAGGCACAUGUUCCUCCGGUAAAAAGAGGAAGGAAACAAGCUUAAGACCUUGCGAUUCCUAAAAAGGCAAUGAGUUAAAAUGGACAGUACAUUGUAUUAGAAAUAUGUUAUUUUGUAACAGGAAGAUUGUAAGCCAAGCCUCCGAAGGAGGGGCGGCAGUUAGGGCUUAAAACCUUCAUGCAUUGCUUGAACGGGGCUCUUCGGUCACACGGGGAUGUGAUGGGAGCCCGCCUUUGCAAACGCGACCCAAUAAAUAUAUUUGGUUAACCAA